AUUGAACGCUGGCGGCAGGCCUAACACAUGCAAUUCGGGCGAGCGGCGGACGGGUGAGUAAUGUAUGGGGAUCUAGCUUAUGGAGGGGGAUAACUACGGGAAACUGUAGCUAAUACCGCGUACCAUAGGAUGAGCCCAAAUGGGCUUAGGUAGUUGGUGAGGUAAAGGCUCACCAAGCUGACGAUCUCUAGCUGGUCUGAGAGGAUGAUCAGCCAAACUGGGACUGAGACACGGCCCAGACUCCUACGGGAGGCAGCAGUGGGGAAUAUUGCACAAUGGGCGCAAGCCUGAGACAGCCAUGCCGCGUGUAUGAAGAAGGCCUUAGGGUUGUAAAGUACUUUCAGCGGGGAGGCGUUACCCACAGAAGAAGCACCGGCUAAAUCCGUGCCAGCAGCCGCGGUAAUAC
This 406-nucleotide ribosomal RNA is filed under the name uncultured bacterium. RNAcentral describes it as "partial 16S ribosomal RNA". It matches the Rfam family "Bacterial small subunit ribosomal RNA", at positions 30 to 526 of the family's 1533-position model. The record is from RNAcentral.